GAUGAACGCUGGCGGCGUGCCUAAUACAUGCAAGUCGAGCGAACAGACGAGGAGCUUGCUCCUCUGACGUUAGCGGCGGACGGGUGAGUAACACGUGGAUAACCUACCUAUAAGACUGGGAUAACUUCGGGAAACCGGAGCUAAUACCGGAUAAUAUAUUUAACCGCAUGGUUCAAUAUUGAAAGACGGUUUUGCUUUCACUUAUAGAUGGAUCCGCGCCGCAUUAGCUAGUUGGUAAGGUAACGGCUUACCAAGGCAACGAUGCGUAGCCGACCUGAGAGGGUGAUCGGCCACACUGGAACUGAGACACGGUCCAGACUCCUACGGGAGGCAGCAGUAGGGAAUCUUCCGCAAUGGGCGAAAGCCUGACGGAGCAACGCCGCGUGAGUGAUGAAGGUCUUCGGAUCGUAAAACUCUGUUAUUAGGGAAGAACAAAUGUGUAAGUAACUAUGCACGUCUUGACGGUACCUAAUCAGAAAGCCACGGCUAACUACGUG
This 497-nucleotide ribosomal RNA is filed under the name uncultured bacterium. RNAcentral describes it as "partial 16S ribosomal RNA". It matches the Rfam family "Bacterial small subunit ribosomal RNA", at positions 28 to 507 of the family's 1533-position model. The record is from RNAcentral.